Molecule: ribosomal RNA, 253 nt
Filed under: uncultured bacterium
Lineage: Bacteria
Description: partial 16S ribosomal RNA
Rfam family: Bacterial small subunit ribosomal RNA
Source: RNAcentral
UACGUAGGGGGCGAGCGUUGUCCGGAUUUAUUGGGCGUAAAGAGCUCGUAGGCGGUUUGGCAAGUCGGGUGUGAAAACUCCGGCUCAACUCGGAGACGCCACUCGAUACUGCCAUGACUCGAGUCCGGUAGGGGAGUGCGGAAUUCCUGGUGUAGCGGUGAAAUGCGCAGAUAUCAGGAGGAACACCGGUGGCGAAGGCGGCACUCUGGGCCGGUACUGACGCUGAGACGCGAAAGCGUGGGGAGCGAACAGG